GAAAUACAAUAUCAAAAUGUCAUGCUAAAACAAAACUACUCAUGUUGACUGCUUUUAGACUGAAUUCUUCAUAUGGUCUUGACUCUUCCUGUGGAUCUCAGCCUUCGGUGUAAAAUCGGAUCACACCAGGGCUGCGUCCGGCGCUGAACUGUGGCUGGGCAGCUGCCUCCGCCUGGGACCGUUUGGCUCCUGACCAGCUGCUCCUCAAAUUGAGUUAAAUUGCCUCCCAGGAUGUACAUGAUGUAAUUUCAUGAACCCCCACUCACACUAAAGUAGACACUAACAAAGACUCUACUGGAAGUCAUUUACAAUAGUCCACCAUCUACAGAUGUAUGUUUUCACAAAGUUUUGGGAACGAGGAGAACCAGGAGGUGCAAACUCCUUCUUACUGUGGAGAGACGACACUUUGUUUCUGUGCAGCCCAAAAGCAGAACAGUAAUAAUUAUGUUCCAAGGAAAACUAUGCAGAAAAAAAAUGAUACGUCACACAUGAGUUUCACUUCAAACUUUAUUUCCCUUUUUGAACUAGUUGUAGAAGGCAGUUGUUUAGUCAGUCCACAUAUUGCCCUCUGCAUGAGUGGUGAAAUAAUGCAAAGACAGAAUGAUGUAAUUUUUUAAUGACAGACAUCCUUUGGCAGGAUAAAACUCCAGCACAAAACCAGUUUCAAACUUCCUGUUCUUGUCUUGCUUGGCUGGCAAGGACAGUAAGUGGAAAGACAGACUGUUAUCCUGGAACCGCUCGGCCAUUUAGAGGCCGCAAUGUGGAAAAGCACAAUGUUUAACAAGCUUGUUUGACAAAGGAGGCCCCCAGAGCACAAUUUUAUGUAUUUCUUGAAUGGACCACAAGUCUUGAAACAGUUAAACAUUGAGUCUUUGUCCCAUCUAAUGACAGAACUGCAGUGAAAGAAACGUAUCACAGAAAUAUUAUUUGUGUGAAAAGAUGAGUGGACACAUGAUAUAUUUGUCUUUGAAAUAUCAGUGAGGCAGAAGAUGGAAGGAAUCUGGACCUUUCAAAGUUGAACAAAGCAGAACUCUGUAAGGUGGGACUCAAUGACGAUGGCAGUUAAAGGGCAAUAAUGGCAACAAUAAAGUGUGAUGUGAAAAAAAUAUCAUUUCUGAAUAAAGCCACAGAAACUGUUAUGAAUAAAUGGAAAAAGUAAUCAAACUUUUUUUUCCCAAUCUAUACAUGUGAAAUUAAAAGCUUCUAAGUCUAAUUUAUUAAAUAAAAUAUAUUUUAUAUAUUCUUGCAAAGGAAACAAAUAAAACAUAUGUGUGCUUUUGAAAACAAUAUUAGAAAACAUCACCUUUGUAAAAUAUGUCAUUUUUGCCCAAAAGUGAUUUCUGCAAAAAUAAAAAAGAAUCACUCCUUUGUAUUGCAAAACAGAUCAUUUUUGGCAAAAAAAAAAAAAAAAAAAAUUUGAGACAUUAUUUUAAGAAGGUGACGAUAAUUUUCAUCACAUCUUAGCCCAUCCUAAUCUGCAGCAGUUAUAAAAUACCUUGAAAGUAUUUAUACCCUUUGAACAUUUCUGCAGUUUUUCAGAACCCCAAACUUUGCUGCAUUUUGUUUUUUUUUAUUCUGGUAGGGAAACAUAAAACAAUGAUCACUGGCUGCGGCAAUGAGAUAAACAUGGAGAACCGUUCAGCCCUUCAUCCAGAGGAGGAACCGUAUAAGCAUGACUCAACUGCAAAGUCACCUGGGAAAGGAGAUAAUUAGUCAGGGAAGAUCUGGAGAACCGGCAUUGGUGAAGAGUUUUGGACAAAGUGGAAAUGUGGAAGUUUGCUGUGAGAAUUAUUUCCUUCAGAGAGAAACUGGCAAGAUGGUGGGAUCUAAACACAAGGUUUCUUUAUUUUUAUGUGUAAAAAAUAUUUAAAAAAUUUGUGUAAUCUCCCUUUUAAUUCACAGUUCUGCUUUACUGUGUGCUGUUCGAUCAUAAAAUUCACUAAAAGUGAAAUAGAUUUUUUGGUUGUAACAUGAACUGAUGUGCAAAAGCUCAAAGGGUAUGAAUGCAUUUGCAAGGAACUGUAGAUCAAACAGAAUUCAUCUGUUCAUAUGACAAAUAUUGCAUAAAAACAUAAUAGUAUUUAAAAUGCUCCCUUUCAGCAUAAAAUAAUCAAACAAGUUUUAGGUAUAUUAUAAGUCUAUAAGUGUAUUUGACUUAUUUUUUUUCUUUGCUACUUGAAAGAAAAUAUAAAGGGUUUUCAUUAUUAUUGGAAGACACACAUGAGACAAAAACAUAAAAAAUGAAAAAUAUAUUAAAUAUGAUGUAGUAAUGAAAAAUAAAUAACAUUUAUGAGUAGAAAAGGGAGAAUGCAUCCAGGGCGACUGCCAGCAGAGUUGGCACAACAAAUUUCAGUGAAGUGAGUGGAGUUGCUGUAGUUGCUGCUCUGCAUUGUAAUGGGACCCCAGUGUGAAGCGUGGCCUGUGAAUGGAGCCCAAGGUCGAAUGAAGGCAGAUUCCUUUAGUCCCGCUCAGGAACACGGAGAACAGGAACCUGCUAGCUAGUGAAUAUUUCAGCCUCUGGGCAGAGUUAGCUGUAGGGGAGUGAAGUCGGUGUAACGUUGCAUUCACUUUCUCUUGUUUCACCCUGUAGAAGCAAACCUCUGCACGGCUGUUUGGGUUUAGUUCAAGAAAGUUGUUAGUAUCAAAGAACUUUUGGUUAGUAUAACAAGAAGCAAGAAAACCUGCAGUAUUCUUAGGCUGGGGAGUGUUAGACUUUUUUCAUUAAAAAAGGUAAUUUAAAUUAGAUGAAGAAUUUUAAGAUAGUGACUAAAUAAGAACUAGGUUUGAAUUUGAACUAAAUUUGAUGUAUAAUAUUGUAAAGUGGUAUUAAAAUAUUUACAACUUUAAAAGGUGAGUUGGGUAAAACAGCGCCCCUACUGGCUUAGAGAUGCAACAGAUUCUCGGUAAAUAAAAACAAACAAUGUUGGUCAUUUCAUCCCUUCGCCAUUUUGUACUUUGAUUCAAUUAAUUAAAUCAAAAUUCAAAUUAAUUUAAAUUUGGAUUCAAUUAAUACAGACUUUGCAAAAACACUUUUAACUCCCUAUUUUAAUAGUUCAAAUACCAAAUAUACUUUGAUAUGUUCAACACACACAGUGGAAACCAUCAUAGCACAGCUGCACAAUCUAAAAUCUACUCUCCCUUAUCGCAGCUUUUGGGGUUACAGCCAAUCAGCACCAGGGAAAUGGUGCACAUGGAUUGGCUGUUUUAAUGGUGUAUCAAGUCGCAUUCAUUUGUAUUAAUUUCAGUUUCCUAAGCUACGUUGUCUCUCCAAAAAAUUUAGACAUGCUCUUUGAAAGAAAUUGGGGAAUGAAUGGAUUUUCCACAAAUAAUUUGGAGUUACGCUGCACAGAAAAAUCCAGAAAUCUGUGAAUACUGAACCGGAAACAUCCAGUGUAUUUCAUGCAAUGAAAGGGUUUGAAAAAGUUUCAUGAGUAUCUAACAUAAAUUCAGGUUUUCAGGGUUUCCCCCGUUGGAAAUCCCUCAUUCAUUCAGCACAUUGCUCAGAUAAAUGCUGAGUUUCAAGCCACGCCCCUUUGGUGCUGCAGGUUGCCUAAACACACAGCGCCCAUGAUCAAUGUAUGAUGUCAAAGGAGGAUUUGGACACCACUAACUUAGACUGACGGAAGCAGAAUUAUACUUUAACAUAACCCAUAGUUUCAGAUUUCAUUUGAGAAAAGACAAGAAGGGAAGAUUCCCAGUCCUGUUUGUGACAGAAUUAGAAUUAAACUCACACAAAAGCCACAAUAUAUGAAGUCAAACCUGGACAGAAAUGUUCAACACUGUUUUCAGAUUCUUGAACAAUCUGAAAAUGGUGAAAUCUCACCUCUUUUUAUAAUACCAUAAAAGAGUUUUUACAAAUUUUAAAAUCUCAUAUUGUCUCCUGAGCUGGUUGUAUUAUUACACCCUAAUUAAAUAUGAAAGGGAAUACAGUCAUAUGCGCCGCAUAGGUGUGUUUGUGGGCACAAAACGGAAAUGAUGGUACGACAUGACGAAGGGAAAAAACUGACCUGGAGCCUGAUUCAUCCAGUAAAAUGUGUGAGCAGAACAGUGUAGAAAAGGGGAAGGAAAAAAGAUCAAUUUGUUUUUGUUUUUAUCCACAUUCAUUCAGCUUUUCAGUUAUAUCUCUACAGGGCAUAAAAUUCAUCUUUGCAGCCAUCACCACAAUAAACCAGAGCAGUUUACACUCUUUGUAAGUCAUUUAUAAACUGCCAAGUACAUUAACUGUUCAAGCUGCUUUAGAGAGUAAAAAAAAGUACAGCUUAUCACAAAAAAUAAUAAGGGAGACUACGUAAAAUAAUUAAGACCCAUGUACAUAUCAACAGCAUAUAUAUAUUACAUUACAGGUUUUUUGGGGAUCUCCAGAACUGUUGUUUAAGUGGUUGGAACCGUAAAAAAAGAAAUCCAGAGAGUUGCAUCUUUUCAGUCUUCUGGCUUUUAAAAAAUGCUAAGAAGCAGUUCCAUAAUGUGCAGCUUUCCUCCUGGACCCCAUGCUGAGAGGAGCUGCAUCAGAGGCCGUCACCUCUUUCUGCUUUUUACCUUUCCUGACCUUUUUUCCAGUGAUGAACCUGAGUGUUCAUGAUUCCUCUAAAGAGUCUGUACACACCACUGUCUGCAGAACGGCCUCGUCAAUCUGCAGGAAUAACCUUCUGGAGAGUGCGAGCAGUCUGUGUCAGCACCAUUCUGAGAGCAGCGACGGCAGGCCAGAAGAAAUUUGGGGAGAUGCUUAAUGUCCAAACUUUGCUAAAAAAAAA
Long non-coding RNA from Xiphophorus couchianus (Monterrey platyfish), 4751 nucleotides. RefSeq lists it as uncharacterized. The record is from RefSeq and is a predicted model, not a curated record. The transcript has 2 exons. NCBI's taxonomy places the organism in Eukaryota, Metazoa, Chordata, Actinopteri, Cyprinodontiformes, Poeciliidae.